RNAcentral lists this unclassified non-coding RNA (254 nucleotides) under Hevea brasiliensis (rubber tree). The record is from RNAcentral. Lineage: Eukaryota; Viridiplantae; Streptophyta; Magnoliopsida; Malpighiales; Euphorbiaceae.
GAAUGAUUCUUCCAGUUCCUGAUAGGGGGAUUUGUGACAUGAUACUGGUGAAAUUAUAUCUCUGCAAGCAUUCACUACUGGAAGCCAGUCCUUCACAAGCUUCAUCCUCACCUGUCGAGGAGCCAGGACAGAUCCAGCAGUAACAGCACUUGCUAGCCGACUGGUACACCUCAUCACUAAGGAAGGCAGACCCGGCGUAACAUUCCUCCAUGCAUCAUCUCUGAACGUCUUCUGUAAAUCCGCCGCAAGCCCCG